This is a long non-coding RNA of Eubalaena glacialis (North Atlantic right whale), 1222 nucleotides long. RefSeq lists it as uncharacterized. NCBI's taxonomy places the organism in Eukaryota, Metazoa, Chordata, Mammalia, Artiodactyla, Balaenidae. The transcript has 3 exons. The record is from RefSeq and is a predicted model, not a curated record.
CACCCCGCCUGCCACACGGAACCAAAGGACCAGGACACGACCGGAACCUGAAAGCCAAACCCUUUCAGAAGCAUAGGGGCCGACGUUCCGGAAGAUCUUUUGCUGAAGACCCCUUUACCGUAUCUUACCAUAAAUGGCCACGUUCCAAAGCCCUCCAGUGGAAAUCUGCCCCACCAGUUCUUCUGCACACCAACCCUCCUCCUCUAAGUCAUAAAUGUUUGACGGAACCCCAGAUCAGAGAGACAGAUUUGAGUCCUGUCUCCUGUCUCCUUGCCAGUAGACCUGGAGAUAAAGCUCCUUCUUUUCUCAAAAGCCGGUGCCAUAGUAUUGGCUUCUGUGCCCCUGGGGCAGUGAGCCCUUGUAAGGAGAGCGAGGGAGAGAGCUGGUUUAAAAUGGGUCUCCUGUGGCAGAAACGGUCAGAGGCUCGAGGAACAGUAAUGUUCAUCCGACUUCCAAGGGGCAUGUUUUUCUGAACUGUGCUGUGAUCCUCACGUGCUGUUGAGAAAAGGUGAGCUUCGCACACCAGCCUUGUAUUAGAGAUGUUAGGGGGAUGGAAAGAGAAAGCGGCCAGGGUUCAUGCGUCCACACCUGGUGAACAAGACUCAAGAGAGAGGAGCGGAUGUGCCUGGAGUGGAGCUCAGAGGGAGCUCACGACAACCACCUUGAAAACCGAAGCACCCACCUCCCCUUGAAGCUCAGAAGUACUGAGGAGGGAGCUGGACCUCCUGCUGGACUCAACAAGUAUCUAUUGAUGCCUUCUAUGUGCCAGGCCCUGUCUGGAGACACAGGAGUCUCUUGCUGUGGGUAGAGAAAGAGAGUGGAUGGAGCAGGAGUGAUGCUUCCUUUCUCUUCGUGCACAUGCUCAUCUCAAACUCAAACCUUCAAUUGUCAGCACUGACAAGGGAAGUAAAACCCACACAGGCUCUUCCAGACUUUCUUAUAGCCAGUUUCCUCUUCUGCCAAAAUAUCUCAGGAAUUUGUAAGCGAAGUCAGCUCUUUUUGAGACUGUCCCUGCUCAUUCUCUGCUUUGGAGGAUGUUGACUAGGAAGAUGGCCAUGUGUGGAUCCAACUGAGAAUCCCACAUUGUAUUUAUUUGUUAUGUUUCCUCUCCAACAUCUGUGACAAUUCUUUGGUCUCUCCUUGUCUUUUAUUACCUGCAUACUUUUGAAGGUUAUUUGUCAGAUAUUUUGUGGAAUGUCUCUUAGUUUGGGGUUGUCUGAAG